AUUGAACGCCGGCGGCAGGCUUAACACAUGCAAGUCGAGCGGGGAAGGGUAGCUUGCUACCUGACCUAGCGGCGGACGGGUGAGUAAUGCUUAGGAAUCUGCCUAUUAGUGGGGGACAACAUUCCGAAAGGAAUGCCAAUACCGCAUACGCCCUACGGGGGAAAGCAGGGGAUCUUCGGACCUUGCGCUAAUAGAUGAGCCUAAGUCAGAUUAGCUAGUUGGUGGGGUAAAGGCCUACCAAGGCGACGAUCUGUAGCGGGUCUGAGAGGAUGAACCGCCACACUGGGACUGGGACACGGCCCAGACUCCUACGGGGGGCAGCAGUGGGGAAUAUUGGCAAAUGGGCGAAAGCCUGAUCCAGCCAUGCCGCGUGUGUGAAGAAGGCCUUUUGGUUGUAAAGCACUUUAAGCGAGGAGGAAGCUACUUGGAUUAAUACUCUAGGAUAGUGGACGUUACUCGCAGAAUAAGCACCGGCUAACCCUGUGCCAGCAGCCGCAGUAA
Molecule: ribosomal RNA, 501 nt
Filed under: uncultured bacterium
Lineage: Bacteria
Description: partial 16S ribosomal RNA
Rfam family: Bacterial small subunit ribosomal RNA
Source: RNAcentral